UGGGGAAUAUUGCGCAAUGGGGGAAACCCUGACGCAGCGACGCCGCGUGAGCGAAGAAGGCCUUAGGGUUGUAAAGCUCUGUUUUAGGGGACGAAUGUCGUGGGGAGUAAUAUGCCUGUGAAAUGACGGUACCCUAAGAGGAAGCCCCGGCUAACUACGUGCCAGCAGCCGCGGUAAGACGUAGGGGGCGAGCGUUGUCCGGAAUUACUGGGCGUAAAGAGCACGUAGGCGGGAACCUAAGUCAGGUGUGAAAGACCGUGGCUCAACCACGGGGUGGCAUUUGAAACUGGGUUUCUUGAGGGCAGGAGAGGAAAGCAGAAUUCCUGGUGUAGCGGUGAAAUGCGUAGAAAUCAGGAGGAAUACCAGUGGCGAAGGCGGCUUUCUGGACUGACCCUGACGCUGAGGUGCGAAAGCGUGGGUAGCAAACAG
RNAcentral lists this ribosomal RNA (429 nucleotides) under uncultured bacterium. Its description in RNAcentral is "bacterial SSU rRNA". It matches the Rfam family "Bacterial small subunit ribosomal RNA", at positions 355 to 775 of the family's 1533-position model. The record is from RNAcentral.